RNAcentral lists this long non-coding RNA (940 nucleotides) under Micromonas commoda. Its description in RNAcentral is "long non-coding RNA (MCOM_LNC000081)". Lineage: Eukaryota; Viridiplantae; Chlorophyta; Mamiellophyceae; Mamiellales; Mamiellaceae. The record is from RNAcentral.
GUAGGAUCGAGAGCCUCAAGCAAUCGUGCAGACUUAUCUCGACGCGUGCGACUUUGGAAACUUGAUAUAUGUACAUUCAUGUUUCCCCAGGCAACUCCGUUACUCGACACCGUGAACUUUCCAGUGCACCUGAAAAACCUCGCUGUUGAUCAGCUUCAACAGGCAAGAUCCUUAUCCUGAGCCCCAGUGCAACCGUACCGCCUAAUUUGAUGGACUCCUCUCCCGCAGGUUGCAAAAGAGCUUCGCGCAGAUUUGAUCUACAACGUGUCUCAGACCGGUGGACAUCUUGGAUCAAGGUAUAUCCUACCUAUCUACAUGGGCCUUGUUUGAAUUUUGCACUGAUCAUUGAUGUAAAUUUCUCUUGGCACAGUUUGGGCGUCAUCGAGCUCACCGUUGCAUUGAACUACGUCUUCGACCAGCCUAAUGUGAGGAUUAGCGUAUGUUACGAUAUCAAUCUUCACAAAACAUGAUCUGUGUUAAGCUUAUAAACAAUUCGGAGACCCUUUCUGAAGGAUCGGAUCAUCUGGGACGUCGGACACCAGGCGCGAGAUAUUUGCUGUGCACAUUACAGUGACUUCUGAUGAUAAUUAGUUUUGCAGGCUUAUCCACACAAAAUGUUGACCGGUCGGCGGGACAGGAUGAGCACCAUGCGACAAACAAACGGUUUGUCAUUUUUUCGUGCAUUCGUUUUGUUUAUUUCUUUAAGAUGAUUUCUUCUCUUCCAGGUUUAUCGCCAUUUACAAAGCGCAGCGAGAGCCCGUUUGACUGCUUUGGAGCUGGUCACAGCAGCACUUCGAUUUCCGCUGGACUUGGUAUGGCGGUUGCUCGAGAUAUGCAGGGUAGAUCAAAUCACGUAAUUGCCGUUAUUGGCGAUGGUGCCAUUACCGGUGGGAUGGCAUACGAGGCGAUGAACAAUGCAGGAUAUUUGGACACGAAUAUG